RNAcentral lists this ribosomal RNA (501 nucleotides) under uncultured bacterium. Its description in RNAcentral is "bacterial SSU rRNA". It matches the Rfam family "Bacterial small subunit ribosomal RNA", at positions 791 to 1297 of the family's 1533-position model. The record is from RNAcentral.
UAGUCCACGCCGUAAACGAUGAUUACUCGCUGUAGGCGAUACACAGUCUGUGGCUAAGCGAAAGUUUUAAGUAAUCCACCUGGGGAGUACGAUCGCAAGAUUGAAACUCAAAGGAAUUGACGGGGGCCCGCACAAGCGGAGGAACAUGUGGUUUAAUUCGAUGAUACGCGAGGAACCUUACCUGGACUUAAAUGUGCGUUGCAUAGAUCAGAGAUGGUCUUUUCUUCGGACUACGUACAAGGUGCUGCAUGGUUGUCGUCAGCUCGUGCCGUGAGGUGUCGGGUUAAGUCCCAUAACGAGCGCAACCCCUAUCCUUAGUUGCCAGCGGGUGAUGCCGGGGACUCUGAGGAGACUGCCACCGUAAGGUGUGAGGAAGGUGGGGAUGACAUCAAAUCAGCACGGCCCUUAUGUCCAGGGCUACACACGUGUUACAAUGGCGGGUACAGAGGGCAGCGAAACCGCGAGGUGGAGCCAGUCCCAGAAAGCCCGUCCCAGUUCGGA